UACGGAGGAUCCGAGCGUUAUCCGGAUUUAUUGGGUUUAAAGGGUGCGUAGGCGGAAUAUCAAGUCAGCGGUAAAAUCGUGGAGCUCAACUCCAUCCAGCCGUUGAAACUGAUGAUCUUGAGUGGGCGAGAAGUAUGCGGAAUGCGCGGUGUAGCGGUGAAAUGCAUAGAUAUCGCGCAGAACUCCGAUUGCGAAGGCAGCGUACCGGCGCCACACUGACGCUGAGGCACGAAAGCGUGGGGAUCGAACAGG
Molecule: ribosomal RNA, 252 nt
Filed under: uncultured Bacteroidales bacterium
Lineage: Bacteria; Pseudomonadati; Bacteroidota; Bacteroidia; Bacteroidales
Description: partial 16S ribosomal RNA
Rfam family: Bacterial small subunit ribosomal RNA
Source: RNAcentral